Molecule: transfer RNA, 73 nt
Filed under: Neotoma lepida (desert woodrat)
Lineage: Eukaryota; Metazoa; Chordata; Mammalia; Rodentia; Cricetidae
Rfam family: tRNA
About the family: Transfer RNA (tRNA) molecules are approximately 80 nucleotides in length. Their secondary structure includes four short double-helical elements and three loops (D, anti-codon, and T loops). Further hydrogen bonds mediate the characteristic L-shaped molecular structure. tRNAs have two regions of fundamental functional importance: the anti-codon, which is responsible for specific mRNA codon recognition, and the 3' end, to which the tRNAs corresponding amino acid is attached (by aminoacyl-tRNA synthetases). tRNAs cope with the degeneracy of the genetic code in two manners: having more than one tRNA (with a specific anti-codon) for a particular amino acid; and 'wobble' base-pairing, i.e. permitting non-standard base-pairing at the 3rd anti-codon position.
Source: Rfam by way of RNAcentral
GUGGGGAUAGCUUAGUAGGUAAAGUGCUUGCCUUGCCAGCGUGAGGACCUGAGUUCAAUUCCCAGAACCUACC